GGCAUCCUUCUAAUAAGCUUAAGUGCGUCAUCCAAUCGGCCAGCUCUGCAUAACAAGUCCACUACACAGCUGAAGUGCUCAUGUUCCGGUGUAACGCCAUAUAAAGAUUCCAUCUCAUCCAACAAACCUUGACCUUCUUUCUGAAGCCCUGAAUGUGCACAUGCUGCUAAAACUGCAAGAAUGACAACACCAUCAGGCUUAAGCCCAUCAGCCACCUGCAUCCUCUCCAAACAGCU
RNAcentral lists this unclassified non-coding RNA (236 nucleotides) under Hevea brasiliensis (rubber tree). Lineage: Eukaryota; Viridiplantae; Streptophyta; Magnoliopsida; Malpighiales; Euphorbiaceae. The record is from RNAcentral.